CAGCCACAGUGAACUAGAGAGACGCGUCUGCCAGGGAGAGCCUGCACCUCCCACAAGGUGUCGUCUGUGCUGGCUUCUGGAGCCUUUGACCACUGCUUUCCAUCUGGGAUUCUGUGUUCACAGGGGGAACAAAAGGCCUGAGAAACACCACGUACGUGACUUGGUCUUCAUGGUCUCUUCUCUCCUGUAAUUGUAGGUGGCCUCAGGAAAGGAGUCUGUAUUCUGCAAUCACUGACUUGCUGCUGAAAAAUCCAGAUGAAAAGAAAGGCGGGGCUUUCCUGCUGGCUUCAGUCUGGAGAUCUGACUCCAGCUUCCUGCUGGCCACCAGGCAGGGGUGGUGGAAGGAGCGGUUUUUGCAGGUAAAGAACCGUGGCCUCAUCGUACAGUCCCUGGAGCAGCCAUGUCCCUCUAGGUGGGUGGGUUUUUGUGCAUGGGGCUCUGGGGGGUCUGCGUGGGUGUCGUGUGGUGUGACUGUGAAUGUGUGUGGGAGUGUGUCUCCUCAGGGGAUGUGUCCCACCUACACAGCACAGGUGCCUCAUCUACAUUCUCCAAGGGAACCCCACCGCCGCUGUGGGCUUUCCACACAUUGACGCAUUCAUGGCUCACCACAGCCUUGCCCACGGGCUUUCCAGCCCCACGCCUCGGAAAAUGAGGUACAGAGAAUGACCCAGGCUCCUGAGCUUCUCUGUGAGAGAGCUGCAGGGCAGACGACUUCGAUCAUAAACUACCAAGAUACCUGGAGCGAUCAGAUGAGCCUCGGCCUACUCUUGAAGCUAAAGGAAGGCUGCUAGCAAGACUGGCAUCUGGGCUUGGCUGUGCGUGUUUUCCAUUGUGGGAAAAUAUACAUAACACAAUAUUUGUAAUUUGAACCUUUUAACCAAAGUGUGCACGCAGUGGCAUUGAAUAUAUUCACUUACACUUAAGGCACAAUGACAAGGCAGCAAAGGGCUGUUGGGUGAUUAGUUCACCACACUUGUUGCAACUGUUUGUACUGCAGAGUUAAAACAUACCAGCAUUCAACCCAUGUCUCCUCUCUUGAAAUAAACUGUCCCCUUUGCAAGGGACCUAAAUCUCCA
This 1076-nucleotide long non-coding RNA is filed under the name Homo sapiens (human). Its description in RNAcentral is "HSALNT0405195". Lineage: Eukaryota; Metazoa; Chordata; Mammalia; Primates; Hominidae. The record is from RNAcentral.